RNAcentral lists this ribosomal RNA (497 nucleotides) under uncultured bacterium. RNAcentral describes it as "partial 16S ribosomal RNA". It matches the Rfam family "Bacterial small subunit ribosomal RNA", at positions 28 to 507 of the family's 1533-position model. The record is from RNAcentral.
GAUGAACGCUGGCGGCGUGCCUAAUACAUGCAAGUCGAGCGAACGGACGAGAAGCUUGCUUCUCUGAUGUUAGCGGCGGACGGGUGAGUAACACGUGGAUAACCUACCUAUAAGACUGGGAUAACUUCGGGAAACCGGAGCUAAUACCGGAUAAUAUUUUGAACCGCAUGGUUCAAAAGUGAAAGACGGUCUUGCUGUCACUUCUAGAUGGAUCCGCGCUGCAUUAGCUAGUUGGUAAGUUAACGGCUUACCAAGGCAACGAGGCAUAGCCGACGUGACAGGGGGGUCGCCCACACUAGAGCGGGAACACGGUCCAGAGUCCUACGGGAGGCAGCAGUAGGGAAUCUUCCGCAAUGGGCGAAAGCCUGACGGAGCGACGCCGCGUGAGUGAUGAAGGUCUUCGGAUCGUAAAACUCUGUUAUUAGGGAAGAACAUAUGUGUAAGUAACUGUGCACAUCUUGACGGUACCUAAUCAGAAAGCCACGGCUAACUACGUG